This 894-nucleotide ribosomal RNA is filed under the name Salmonella enterica. RNAcentral describes it as "bacterial LSU rRNA". It matches the Rfam family "Bacterial large subunit ribosomal RNA", at positions 1 to 926 of the family's 2925-position model. The record is from RNAcentral. Lineage: Bacteria; Pseudomonadati; Pseudomonadota; Gammaproteobacteria; Enterobacterales; Enterobacteriaceae.
GGGUUGUGAGGUUAAGCGACUAAGCGUACACGGUGGAUGCCCUGGCAGUCAGAGGCGAUGAAGGGCGUGCUAAUCUGCGAUAAGCGCCGGUAAGGUGAUAUGAACCGUUAUAACCGGCGAUACCCGAAUGGGGAAACCCAGUGUGAUUCGUCACACUAUCAUUAACUGAAUCCAUAGGUUAAUGAGGCGAACCGGGGGAACUGAAACAUCUAAGUACCCCGAGGAAAAGAAAUCAACCGAGAUUCCCCCAGUAGCGGCGAGCGAACGGGGAGGAGCCCAGAGCCUGAAUCAGCAUGUGUGUUAGUGGAAGCGUCUGGAAAGGCGCGCGAUACAGGGUGACAGCCCCGUACACAAAAGCGCAUGUGCUGUGAGCUCGAUGAGUAGGGCGGGACACGUGGUAUCCUGUCUGAAUAUGGGGGGACCAUCCUCCAAGGCUAAAUACUCCUGACUGACCGAUAGUGAACCAGUACCGUGAGGGAAAGGCGAAAAGAACCCCGGCGAGGGGAGUGAAAAAGAACCUGAAACCGUGUACGUACAAGCAGUGGGAGCACAGGUUUACCUGUGUGACUGCGUACCUUUUGUAUAAUGGGUCAGCGACUUAUAUUCUGUAGCAAGGUUAACCGAAUAGGGGAGCCGGAGGGAAACCGAGUCUUAACCGGGCGUUAAGUUGCAGGGUAUAGACCCGAAACCCGGUGAUCUAGCCAUGGGCAGGUUGAAGGUUGGGUAACACUAACUGGAGGACCGAACCGACUAAUGUUGAAAAAUUAGCGGAUGACCUGUGGCUGGGGGUGAAAGGCCAAUCAAACCGGGAGAUAGCUGGUUCUCCCCGAAAGCUAUUUAGGUAGCGCCUCGUGAAUUCAUCUCCGGGGGUAGAGCACUGUUUCGGCUAGGGGG